UACGAAGGGGGCUAGCGUUGCUCGGAAUCACUGGGCGUAAAGGGUGCGUAGGCGGGUCUUUAAGUCAGAGGUGAAAUCCUGGAGCUCAACUCCAGAACUGCCUUUGAUACUGAGGAUCUUGAGUUCGGGAGAGGUGAGUGGAACUGCGAGUGUAGAGGUGAAAUUCGUAGAUAUUCGCAAGAACACCAGUGGCGAAGGCGGGUCUCUGGGCCGUUACUGACGCUGAGGAGCGAAAGCGUGGGGAGCGAACAGG
RNAcentral lists this ribosomal RNA (253 nucleotides) under uncultured bacterium. RNAcentral's name for it is "partial 16S ribosomal RNA". It matches the Rfam family "Bacterial small subunit ribosomal RNA", at positions 524 to 776 of the family's 1533-position model. The record is from RNAcentral.